GGACAACCUGCCCUUAGGUUGGGUAUAAACCCGGGAAACUGGGUAUAAUACCCGAUAGGUCUCGAUUGCUGGAAUGCAUCGAGAUUUAAAGCUCCGGCGCCUAAGGAUGGGUCUGCGGCCUAUCAGGUAGUAGUGGGUGUAGCGUACCUACUAGCCUACGACGGGUACGGGUUGUGAGAGCAAGAGCCCGGAGAUGGAUUCUGAGACACGAAUCCAGGCCCUACGGGGUGCAGCAGGCGCGAAAACUUUACAAUGCUGGCAACAGCGAUAAGGGAACCUCGAGUGCCAGGUUACAAAUCUGGCUGUCGAGAUGCCUAAAAAGCAUUUCAUAGCAAGGGCCGGGCAAGACCGGUGCCAGCCGCCGCGGUAACACCGGCGGCUCGAGUGGUAACCGUUAUUAUUGGGUCUAAAGGGUCUGUAGCCGGCCGGAUAAGUCUCUUGAGAAAUCUGGCAGCUUAACUGUCAGGCUUUCAGGAGAUACUGUCUGGCUCGAGGCCGGGAGAGGUGAGAGGUACUCCAGGGGUAGGGGUGAAAUCUUGUAAUCCUUGAAGGACCACCAGUGGCGAAGGCGUCUCACCAGAACGGACCUGACGGCAAGGGACGAAAGCUAGGGGCACGAACCGGAUUAGAUACCCGGGUAGUCCUAGCCGUAAACGAUACUCGCUAGGUGUCGGCCACGGUGCGACCGUUGUCGGUGCCGUAGGGAAGCCGUGAAGCGAGCCACCUGGGAAGUACGGCCGCAAGGCUGAAACU
RNAcentral lists this ribosomal RNA (753 nucleotides) under uncultured Methanosaeta sp. RNAcentral describes it as "bacterial SSU rRNA". It matches the Rfam family "Archaeal small subunit ribosomal RNA", at positions 102 to 856 of the family's 1478-position model. Lineage: Archaea; Methanobacteriati; Methanobacteriota; Methanomicrobia; Methanotrichales; Methanotrichaceae. The record is from RNAcentral.